UGGGGAAUUUUGGACAAUGGGCGAAAGCCUGAUCCAGCAAUGCCGCGUGUGUGAAGAAGGCCUUCGGGUUGUAAAGCACUUUUGUCCGGAAAGAAAUCCUUGGCUCUAAUACAGUCGGGGGAUGACGGUACCGGAAGAAUAAGCACCGGCUAACUACGUGCCAGCAGCCGCGGUAAUACGUAGGGUGCAAGCGUUAAUCGGAAUUACUGGGCGUAAAGCGUGCGCAGGCGGUUUGCUAAGACCGAUGUGAAAUCCCCGGGCUCAACCUGGGAACUGCAUUGGUGACUGGCAGGCUAGAGUAUGGCAGAGGGGGGUAGAAUUCCACGUGUAGCAGUGAAAUGCGUAGAGAUGUGGAGGAAUACCGAUGGCGAAGGCAGCCCCCUGGGCCAAAUACUGACGCUCAUGCACGAAAAGCGUGGGGGAGCAAACAGGAUUAGAUAUCCUGGUAGUCCACGCCCUAAACGAUGUCAACUAGUUGUUGGGGAUUCAUUUCCUUAGUAACGUAGCUAACGCGUGAAGUUGACCGCCUGGGGGAGUACGGUCGCAAGAUUAAAACUUAAAUGAAUUGAC
This 570-nucleotide ribosomal RNA is filed under the name uncultured bacterium. Its description in RNAcentral is "partial 16S ribosomal RNA". It matches the Rfam family "Bacterial small subunit ribosomal RNA", at positions 355 to 914 of the family's 1533-position model. The record is from RNAcentral.